RNAcentral lists this ribosomal RNA (229 nucleotides) under uncultured bacterium. RNAcentral's name for it is "partial 16S ribosomal RNA". It matches the Rfam family "Bacterial small subunit ribosomal RNA", at positions 118 to 345 of the family's 1533-position model. The record is from RNAcentral.
UGAGCAACCUGCCCUUGACUCUGGAAUAACAGCUGGAAACAGCUGCUAAUACCGGAUAUGACCUCCGAUGGCAUCAUCUGGAGGUGGAAAGCUCCGGCGGUCAAGGAUGGGCUCGCGGCCUAUCAGCUUGUUGGUGAGGUAACGGCUCACCAAGGCUUCGACGGGUAGCCGGCCUGAGAGGGCGACCGGCCACACUGGGACUGAGAUACGGCCCAGACUCCGUAACGGG